Diabrotica virgifera virgifera (western corn rootworm) is the source of this 2246-nucleotide RNA transcript. It is a transcript of the gene named general transcription factor 3C polypeptide 5, with no coding region annotated. Lineage: Eukaryota; Metazoa; Arthropoda; Insecta; Coleoptera; Chrysomelidae. The transcript is spliced from 2 exons. The record is from RefSeq and is a predicted model, not a curated record.
UGAAAAAAUAAGCCCAGAAACUAGAGAACUAAUCAACGCGAAGUAAAAUGAGAGGAAGCGAAAAUACUGAAAAAAGUGCGUUAAGAGACACCAACAAGAAAGUGUCAAAGGAAAUCAGAAAAGAUCUAAGGAAGUAUAAAACUCAAAGCAUCCAGAAAACCAUAGAAGAAAAUAAAAGUUUGAAAGUUUUACGAAGGAAAUUGACCAACGGAAAAUGCGAAAUACAUAAAUUAAAAAAUAAAAACAGCGAAAUAACAUCAAACAGAGAAGAUUUACUAAAUAUCGUAGAAGAAUUUUAUUUGGAACUAUAUAGGAGCCAAAGGCUGAAUCAAAAUAAUCUGAGGGAAGCGGUUUCAAAGAAAAUAAUAAACCAAGGCUCCGAAAUACUACCAGAGAUAACCACUAGCGAAAUCCAUCAAGCACUGAGAAAAAUGAAAAAUGGAAAAGCACCAGGUGAAGAUGGAGUCGUAAUAGAGGCCAUUAAAAACGGAGGCCACAUUCUUAUAGGUAAAAUAAAAAAUCUCUUCAACUUAUGCCUUCAUCAAAAGUCGAUACCUGAAAAAUGGAAAAACGCAGUAACAAUACUUUUGCAUAAGAAGGGAGAUAAGACAGACUUAGAACAUUAUAGACCCAUUAGCCUGCUAAACCACUUAUACAAACUCUUUACAAAAGUAGUGACAUCAAGAGUAGAAAAGAAGCUAGAUUUUUACCAGCCAAAAGAACAAGCUGGAUUUCGAUCAAACUUUGGGACAAACGACCAUCUGCAGGCAGUCAAGUUACUAAUUGAGAAGUCAAUAGAAUAUAAUAAACCCCUUGUCCUAGCAUUCGUGGAUUUUCAUAAAGCCUUUGACACGAUAGAGCUGGAUAGCAUUUUAGAAGCUCUAAAUGAAUGCCGCAUUGACUACCGUUACAGUACACUCAUCUAUAAUAUUUAUAAAGAGGCAACAAUGAGUGUUAAGUUACAUGAUAAAACCAAACAAAUAAGCAUAGAACGCGGCGUAAGACAAGGCGACACACUCUCGCCAAAACCAUUCAUAACUGUUCUGGAAUAUGCCUUUAAGAUGCUCAACUGGGACAAUAAAGGGAUCAAAAUAGAUGGAGAAAAGUUAAAUCAUCUUCGUUUUGCAGAUGACAUAGUCCUUAUAACUGAUGACCUAGGAGAAGUAAAGAAAAUGCUAAAUGAGUUAGACGCUAUCUGCUGGAAAAUAGGCCUGAAAAUGAACUUUUCUAAAACUAAAUUUAUGACUAAUCUGAUUCCUAGCGGGCAGCUGAUUAUACGCGAACAAGAAGUAGAACUAGUGGAAAAGUACAUUUACUUGGGUCAUGAAAUUAGAAUUGGCAGAGAUAACCAAACAUGCGAAAUAAAAAAAAGAUUAACUCUUGCUUGGGCAGCCUACGGAGCUCUGAGAGACAUAUUUAGGAGCAGUAUACCGAUCGGUUUAAAAAGACAAGUGUUUGACCAAUGUGUGCUACCGGUAAUGACAUAUGGAGCAGAGACACUGACUCUAACCAAGGCAACAGCGUCGAAAAUGCGGGUUGCUCAAAGGCGCAUGGAAAGAUCCAUGCUGGGCGUAACUCUACGGGAUAAAAUAAGAAAUGAAGAUCUCAGACAAACAACCGGUAUCGCAGAUGUUGUAGAACGUAUCACCAGGCUCAAAUGGAACUGGGCAGGACACGUCGCCAGGCUGAAAGAUUCAAGAUGGGCACGAAAGCUGAUGGAGUGGAGACCAAGAGAAGAUAAACGAAGUAGAGGAAGGCCGCCUACACGUUGGGCAGAUGAUAUCAGGCGGAUUAGUAAAAACUGGCAAAAAUCAGCACAAAACCGUGAAGUGUGGAAACAAUUGAGGGAGACCUAUGUCCAGCAGUGGACGUGAAUUGGUUGGAUGAUGAUGAUGAUGAUUUGUUUCGGCUCUUAAACCAAGUAUAUAUAACUGUAAAGAUCUCCUAUUUGUUCUAAUUUUUUCCUGGUGUAUUAUUUUGAGGUCUGCAAAGAGCCACUAGUCACUGAGGGCCUAAUCUGAAGAAUUCGAAGAGUACAGGAACAAUUCGAAACAUACAAUUCAUAAAUUUUUGACAUUAUUUGUAUCGAAUUGUGACACAUGGCAUCGUGUUAGGAAGGAACAAAAAUCAUGGUCAGAGCUAAACGCGCUGCUUAUAGGAAAGACAUAUUACAUCCCAAAAUGGACGAAAGUCACUACAUCUUGAGACCAGACACAAUUCCACCCGCCAGGCAAAUGUUUUAUCAG